Molecule: ribosomal RNA, 497 nt
Filed under: uncultured bacterium
Lineage: Bacteria
Description: partial 16S ribosomal RNA
Rfam family: Bacterial small subunit ribosomal RNA
Source: RNAcentral
GAUGAACGCUGGCGGCGUGCCUAAUACAUGCAAGUCGAGCGAACGGACGAGAAGCUUGCUUCUCUGAUGUUAGCGGCGGACGGGUGAGUAACACGUGGAUAACCUACCUGUCAGACUGGUAUAACUUCGGGAAACCGGAGCUAAUACCGGAUAAUAUUUUGCUCCGCAUUGUUCAAUAGUGAAAGACGGUCUUGCUGUCACUUAUAGCUGGAUCCGCGCUGCAUUAGCUAGUUGGUACGGUAACGGCGUACCAAGGCAACGAUGCAUAGCCGACCUGAGAGGGUGAUCGGCCACACUGGAACUGAGACACGGUCCAGACUCCUACGGGAGGCAGCAGUAGGGAAUCUUCCGCAAUGGGCGAAAGCCUGACGGAGCAACGCCGCGUGAGUGAUGAAGGUCUUCGGAUCGUAAAACUCUGUUAUUAGGGAAGAACAUAUGUGUAAGUAACUGUGCACAUCUUGACGGUACCUAAUCAGAAAGCCACGGCUAACUACGUG